AGACCGCUCCACGCCCUUCGGUCUGCCGGGCCCAACAAAGGAGGAACAAGCCGCCGGCCGGCGGUGCGGCAGUGUGGAGACCUGCCGUAAUCCUGUGCGGGUCUCGCUCCCGCACGGGGAGGUCCCUGCGCGGAGGCAAGGGGAUCGCGGCCCAUCACUAUGGCA
This 165-nucleotide non-coding RNA is filed under the name uncultured Dysosmobacter sp. RNAcentral's name for it is "malK-I RNA". It matches the Rfam family "malK-I RNA". Lineage: Bacteria; Bacillati; Bacillota; Clostridia; Eubacteriales; Oscillospiraceae. The record is from RNAcentral.